RNAcentral lists this long non-coding RNA (351 nucleotides) under Vombatus ursinus (common wombat). RNAcentral describes it as "lncRNA (ENSVURG00010005234.1)". The record is from RNAcentral. Lineage: Eukaryota; Metazoa; Chordata; Mammalia; Diprotodontia; Vombatidae.
AGACCGCGUCCUGUCCUGGGGCGCGCUGGGGAGCCCUGAGAGCUUGCGGAGAGCGUCCAGGAGCGGGACCGGGGAGCCGCUGCGAGGGGCGCAGAGACCCUCUUGGAAUUAUUGAAUCUACAAACCAUUUCUCUGACACUUAAUAGUUACAUUGCCUUUGGAGAAUAAUAUCUACAGAGAGGUCGUGAUUUUGGAUCCCAAGCUAGAGUCCUGAGCUGCAGUAAUCAUUACUUAAUAUUAAUAUGGAAAUGAGUUUGCCCUGUUACAAGUCCCAGAAUCAAUCAGUAAGUAAUUAUGAUAAUCAGUCCUAAAGAUGCUAUGAAAGUGUGGUACUUUCUAGGUGGUAAUUAA